ACGGGUGAGUAACACGUGGACAAUCUGCCCCCCGGCCCGGGAUAGCCCAGGGAAGCCUGGAUUAAUACCGGAUGAGACGGGACCCGCGAAGGCGGGACCCGGGAAAGGCGCUGCGGCGCCGCCGGGGGGAUGAGUCUGCGUCCCAUUAGCUAGACGGCGGGGUAACGGCCCACCGUGGCGACGAUGGGUAGCCGGCCUGAGAGGGUGGACGGCCACAUUGGAACUGAGACACGGUCCAGACUCCUACGGGAGGCAGCAGCUAAGAAUCUUCCGCAAUGGGCGAAAGCCUGACGGAGCGAACCGCCGCGUGAACGAAGAAGGCCGUGAGGUUGUAAAGUUCUUUUCGGGAGGGGGAACAACCGUGGCAGGGAAUGGCCGCGGGAUGACGUGAAUCCCGGAAUAAGCCCCGGCUAACUACGUGCCAGCCGCUGC
This 432-nucleotide ribosomal RNA is filed under the name uncultured bacterium. RNAcentral describes it as "bacterial SSU rRNA". It matches the Rfam family "Bacterial small subunit ribosomal RNA", at positions 102 to 518 of the family's 1533-position model. The record is from RNAcentral.